AAUAGAUACCCUGGUAGUCCAUACCGUAAACGAUGAAUGCUAAGUGUUGGAGGGUUUCCGCCCUUCAGUGCUGCAGCUAACGCAUUAAGCAUUCCGCCUGGGGAGUACGGCCGCAAGGCUGAAACUCAAAGGAAUUGACGGGGGCCCGCACAAGCGGUGGAGCAUGUGGUUUAAUUCGAAGCUACGCGAAGAACCUUACCAGGUCUUGACAUACUAUGCAAAUCUAAGAGAUUAGACGUUCCCUUCGGGGACAUGGAUACAGGUGGUGCAUGGUUGUCGUCAGCUCGUGUCGUGAGAUGUUGGGUUAAGUCCCGCAACGAGCGCAACCCUUAUUAUCAGUUGCCAGCAUUAAGUUGGGCACUCUGGUGAGACUGCCGGUGACAAACCGGAGGAAGGUGGGGAUGACGUCAAAUCAUCAUGCCCCUUAUGACCUGGGCUACACACGUGCUACAAUGGAUGGUACAACGAGUUGCGAACUCGCGAGAGUAAGCUAAUCUCUUAAAGCCAUUCUCAGUUCGGAUUG
RNAcentral lists this ribosomal RNA (523 nucleotides) under uncultured bacterium. RNAcentral's name for it is "bacterial SSU rRNA". It matches the Rfam family "Bacterial small subunit ribosomal RNA", at positions 777 to 1300 of the family's 1533-position model. The record is from RNAcentral.